GAUGAAGAACGCAGCGAAAUGCGAUAAGUAAUGUGAAUUGCAGAAUUCAGUGAAUCAUCGAAUCUUUGAACGCACAUUGCGCCCGCCAGUAUUCUGGCGGGCAUGCCUGUUCGAGCGUCAUUACAACCCUCAGGCCCCCGGGCCUGGCGUUGGGGAUCGGCGGAGCCCCCCGUGGGCACACGCCGUCCCCCAAAUGCGGUGGCGGUCCCGCCGCAGCUUCCAUCGCGUAGUAGCUAACACCUCGCGACUGGAGAGCGGCGCGGCCACGCCGUAAAACACCCAACUCUUCUGAAGUUGACCUCGAAUCAGGUAGGAAUACCCGCUGAACUUAAGCAUAUCAAUAAGCGGAGGA
RNAcentral lists this unclassified non-coding RNA (352 nucleotides) under soil metagenome. RNAcentral describes it as "partial contains 5.8S ribosomal RNA, internal transcribed spacer 2, and large subunit ribosomal RNA". The stretch from base 1 to 120 matches the Rfam family "5.8S ribosomal RNA", at positions 35 to 154 of the family's 154-position model. The record is from RNAcentral.